RNAcentral lists this ribosomal RNA (529 nucleotides) under uncultured Pseudomonadota bacterium. RNAcentral's name for it is "bacterial SSU rRNA". It matches the Rfam family "Bacterial small subunit ribosomal RNA", at positions 355 to 875 of the family's 1533-position model. The record is from RNAcentral. Lineage: Bacteria; Pseudomonadati; Pseudomonadota.
UGGGGAAUUUUUGGACAAUGGGGGCAACCCUGAUCCAGCCAUGCCGCGUGAGUGAAGAAGGCCUUCGGGUUGUAAAGCUCUUUCGGCGGGGACGAAACGGUCCGUGCUAACACCACGGUCUACUGACGGUACCCGAAGAAGAAGCACCGGCUAACUACGCGCCAGCAGCCGCGGUAAUACGUAGGGUGCAGGCGUUAAUCGGAAUUACUGGGCGUAAAGCGUGCGUAGGCGGUUUGUUAAGACAGGUGUGAAAUCCCCGGGCUUAACCUGGGAACUGCGCUUGUUACUGGCAGACUUGAGUGUGGCAGAGGGGGGUGGAAUUCCACGUGUAGCAGUGAAAUGCGUAGAGAUGUGGAGGAACACCGAUGGCGAAGGCAGCCCCCUGGGCUAACACUGACGCUGAUGCACGAAAGCGUGGGGAGCAAACAGGAUUAGAUACCCUGGUAAGUCCACGCCCUAAACUAUGUCAACUGGUUGUCGGGGAAGAAAUUCCUUGGUAACGAAGCUAACGCGUGAAGUUGACCGUCCG